Molecule: long non-coding RNA, 264 nt
Organism: Bos taurus (domestic cattle)
Lineage: Eukaryota; Metazoa; Chordata; Mammalia; Artiodactyla; Bovidae
Source: Ensembl
CCUUCACCGUAAUCACCAAUAGAGAGGUGGAUCUUCCUUGGGGGAGGAGCGGCCCAUCUGACCACCGACCCUACAACAUGCCAUAGAAUGCUUGCUCCACAGGGGAGACUGCCUCUGUCAUUCUGCAGGAAAUGCACUCAAAGCUUCAGAAAAAUUAAUAUGACAUUAGCUUCCACCCCAACCUAAGCUACUCACUCCUUCCACGUUAACUGAAGAUGACAGAAGGAAAGAACAAUGUCCGCACAAGCAUGAAAAGCUAAUAAA